This 61-nucleotide transfer RNA is filed under the name Lepidodermella squamata. RNAcentral describes it as "tRNA-Ile". Lineage: Eukaryota; Metazoa; Gastrotricha; Chaetonotida; Chaetonotidae. The record is from RNAcentral.
AGUAAUAUGCCAGAUAAAUGGGGCACAUUGAUAGUGUGUUUAUGACGUAGUUCUAUUACUA